UACAGAGGGUGCAAGCGUUGUUCGGAAUUAUUGGGCGUAAAGGGCGCGUAGGCGGUGCGGUAAGUCUGCGGUGAAAUCUCCCGGCUCAACUGGGAGGCUGCCGUGGAAACUGCCGUGCUUGAGUGUGGGAGAGGUGAGUGGAAUUCCCGGUGUAGCGGUGAAAUGCGUAGAUAUCAGGAGGAACACCUGUGGCGAAAGCGGCUCACUGGACCAUAACUGACGCUGAUGCACGAAAGCUAGGGGAGCAAACAGG
RNAcentral lists this ribosomal RNA (253 nucleotides) under uncultured bacterium. RNAcentral describes it as "partial 16S ribosomal RNA". It matches the Rfam family "Bacterial small subunit ribosomal RNA", at positions 524 to 776 of the family's 1533-position model. The record is from RNAcentral.